This 244-nucleotide ribosomal RNA is filed under the name uncultured Staphylococcus sp. Its description in RNAcentral is "partial 16S ribosomal RNA". It matches the Rfam family "Bacterial small subunit ribosomal RNA", at positions 96 to 334 of the family's 1533-position model. Lineage: Bacteria; Bacillati; Bacillota; Bacilli; Caryophanales; Staphylococcaceae. The record is from RNAcentral.
CGGCGGACGGGUGAGUAACACGUGGAUAACCUACCUAUAAGACUGGGAUAACUUCGGGAAACCGGAGCUAAUACCGGAUAAUAUAUUGAACCGCAUGGUUCAAUAGUGAAAGACGGUUUUGCUGUCACUUAUAGAUGGAUCCGCGCCGCAUUAGCUAGUUGGUAAGGUAACGGCUUACUAAGGCAACGAUGCGUAGCCGACCUGAGAGGGUGAUCGGCCACACUGGAACUGAGACAAGGUCCAG